RNAcentral lists this ribosomal RNA (253 nucleotides) under uncultured bacterium. Its description in RNAcentral is "partial 16S ribosomal RNA". It matches the Rfam family "Bacterial small subunit ribosomal RNA", at positions 524 to 776 of the family's 1533-position model. The record is from RNAcentral.
UACGAAGGGGGCAAGCGUUGUUCGGAAUUACUGGGCGUAAAGGGCGCGUAGGCGGCCGAUCAAGUCAGGCGUGAAAUUCCCGGGCUCAACCUGGGGGCUGCGCUUGAUACUGAUUGGCUUGAAUGCGGGAGAGGAUAGUGGAAUUCCCAGUGUAGAGGUGAAAUUCGUAGAUAUUGGGAAGAACACCGGUGGCGAAGGCGGGUUGCUGGGCCGACACUGACGCUGAGGCGCGAAAGCUAGGGGAGCGAACGGG